Molecule: ribosomal RNA, 433 nt
Filed under: uncultured Pseudobutyrivibrio sp.
Lineage: Bacteria; Bacillati; Bacillota; Clostridia; Lachnospirales; Lachnospiraceae
Description: partial 16S ribosomal RNA
Rfam family: Bacterial small subunit ribosomal RNA
Source: RNAcentral
ACGGAAGCAGCAGUGGGGAAUAUUGCACAAUGGGCGAAAGCCUGAUGCAGCGACGCCGCGUGAGCGAAGAAGUAUUUCGGUAUGUAAAGCUCUAUCAGCAGGGAAGAUAAUGACGGUACCUGACUAAGAAGCACCGGCUAAAUACGUGCCAGCAGCCGCGGUAAUACGUAUGGUGCAAGCGUUAUCCGGAUUUACUGGGUGUAAAGGGAGCGUAGGCGGUUUUACAAGUCUGAUGUGAAAGCCCGGGGCUCAACUCCGGUAUUGCAUUGGAAACUGUAGAACUAGAGUGUCGGAGGGGUAAGUGGAAUUCCUAGUGUAGCGGUGAAAUGCGUAGAUAUUAGGAGGAACACCAGUGGCGAAGGCGGCUUACUGGACGAUUACUGACGCUGAGGCUCGAAAGCGUGGGGAGCAAACAGGAUUAGAUACCCUGGUA